RNAcentral lists this ribosomal RNA (253 nucleotides) under uncultured bacterium. RNAcentral's name for it is "partial 16S ribosomal RNA". It matches the Rfam family "Bacterial small subunit ribosomal RNA", at positions 524 to 776 of the family's 1533-position model. The record is from RNAcentral.
UACAGAGGGUGCGAGCGUUAAUCGGAAUUACUGGGCGUAAAGCGCACGUAGGCGGAUUGCUAAGUCAGGGGUGAAAUCCUGGAGCUCAACUCCAGAACUGCCUUUGACACUGGCGAUUUUGAGUCCGGGAGAGGUGAGUGGAACUGCGAGUGUAGAGGUGAAAUUCGUAGAUAUUCGGAGGAACACCAGUGGCGAAGGCGGCUCACUGGUCCAUUACUGACGCUGAGGUGCGAAAGCGUGGGGAGCAAACAGG